This 280-nucleotide ribosomal RNA is filed under the name uncultured bacterium. RNAcentral describes it as "partial 16S ribosomal RNA". It matches the Rfam family "Bacterial small subunit ribosomal RNA", at positions 506 to 784 of the family's 1533-position model. The record is from RNAcentral.
UGCCAGCCGCCGCGGUAAAACGGAGGGUCCUAGCGUUGUUCGGAAGUGACUGGGCGUAAAGGGCGCGCAGGCGGUCUUGUCCGUCAGGUGUGAAAGCUCGGGGCUCAACCCCGGAAGUGCAUUGGAAACUGGCGAACUUGAGUACGGGAGAGGAAAGUGGAAUUCCGAGUGUAGGGGUGAAAUCCGUAGAUAUUCGGAGGAACACCAGUGGCGAAGGCGGCUUUCUGGACCGAUACUGACGCUGAGACGCGAAAGCGUGGGGAGCAAACAGGAUUAGAUA